AACAAGUCCAGGAACUAAAAUAAAACACUUUACCAAAACACAAUCAGAGGGAAAAAAUGGAUAAACGUUUCGUCUUCCUACUGCUGCUGAGAUUUUUUAGUGCGUUAUGAUUUUGAUAACUGGAGCAGCAAUCUCUAUGUUUUGAAGAAGAUGUUUUGGAGAGGGAGACGAUCUGAGUUCCCUUUUUUACUGUUUCCAUUUCCACUUGCAAAGCUUUGUAAACCGCCGCAUCAACACCAAACAAGAAGCUUCCAUCAUCUAUGAACCAAGCAAGGAUUGUUUUGUAUGCUAUAGGCUAUAGCCGUAGUAGAUUUUGACAAUGAAAAUGGUGAGAUUUUUAAAGAUGGAACAAAUCAAUUAGCUUAAUACAACUCCUCUGUUGCAAGGUGAGUCAUGUGCUGUAUUUGCAUUGAAAUUCAAUUGUUGCUAUACUUUAGUAAUUAAAGGUAGGAAUCAAGUGAGAUUUGAAGUCCCACAUUGUCUACUUCAUAAAACAAGCUAUGCAGCUUAUAUAUAAAAUGUAAGCACCUCUAUUGCUAUCAACUACGGAGCCGUGUGAUGAUGACAUAGCGAACUAUUCUUUCGCCUUUUACUAAAGAAUACCGUGUCAGCGUCACAAUUAGCGGCAUACGCCAGUUUUUGGAAGAGUCCUCUUCAUUGAGGGUUCUGCAAAUUUAGUUCAAGUAUAUCAGUAUUACAUAGGACUCUGCAAUUUCACUCGAGUUUUUUAAAUCAAUCUCAAUACUUUUAACAUAAUUUUAACUAUUCUGAACAUAUUUGUCACUAUUCUGGAUUCACUAUCAGCUAAACAUUUAAGGACCUCUUGUUGCUUUAAAAGUGGGAAAAUCAUAUUCAAAUCACUUUGCAUAUUCAAAUAAGUUUUCAUAUGCAAACAUUAGACAAAUGGAAUAAUAGGAGAUACUCUUAGACACACUUUUGAUAUUUUCCCCUUAAUAACAUGUGAACUUGAUAAUUGACUAGUUUCUAAACACUAUUUACUUUUUAUACUCUAAGUGAAAUCCAGUGAUUGGAUAAAACCUUUGAAACACCAAAAUUUCCCUUAUGUCCUUGAUUCUUUAAACUGAGUACUACUGCAAAGGGAUUCAUUCAAUCCCACGAGAAAACUAAUAGUUGCAUCUUCUUCCUAGAGUUUCUUUAAACAUUCAAUCCCACGAGAAAACUAAUAGUUGCAUCUUCUUCCUAGAAUUUCUUUAAACUGUUGAACUCUUCACUAUUCAACAAUGCGAACACAGUCUCCUUGCGAGAAUCGUGCCUCGAGAUCCUUGCAAGCCGCUGCAGCAACAUCCAUAUAUAGACCACAUGCUUCAUGAUAGAUAGAGAGACCUAAUUUUUCGAUCCUGGUAUGCACAAGAUUGUUGCAUCUUUGCCGGGCCUCAUAACUAGGAUUGAAACGAUUUGGCAACAAUGCAAAUAAGUUCAAAAACCUGUUUUUCUUCUUCAUGAUACCCUCACACUUUUAUGACGAGUACUGUUUGUUUCAUCUUUCAUUGGUAUUUUGUUUUUCUGAAUAAAGUAUGUCAUGUCUAACUGUUUAUAUGGCAUGCAUAACCUGUUGUCUUGCGUCUGUACACUAAGGUAAAGCCUCUUUGUCUUCUACAGGAUUCUUUUGAAUGCUAUAGGCAUGGUAUAUUUUGAUCAAGAAAAUGGUGAUGUCGCUGAAGACUCGCUUAAAUAAAAGAUGGAAUAUACCGUUUAGCUCAAUACAACACCUCUGUUGCAAGGAUUGUUUGGUAUGCUAUAGCCAGAGUAGAUUUUGAUGAUCAUGAAAAUGGUGAGAUUUUUUAAGAUGGAAAGAUCAACUAGCUCAAUACACAGCUUCUCUGUGGCAAGGUAACUUAUUACUCUUUGUUGUUUCAUGUGAUAUAUUUGCAGUGAAAUUAAAUUUUCGCUAGACUAGGAUACUUUAGUUAUUUAAUGUUCAAAUGAGUGGAUAACAAACUAAAGUCCCAUAUUGUCUACUGCGUAAAAGGAACUAAUCUACUCACAUAUAGCGAACUAUUCUUCCGCCUAUUACUAAAGAAUAUCGUGUCAGCGUCAUAAUUAGCGGCAUAGGCUUGUUUUUGGAAGAGUCCUCAAUUUGAGGGCUCUGCAAUAAUAGUUCAAUUUUAGCUCUAUAUUUUUAAUAUUUCCAAAAAGUAGAGUCCUCUUCUUUGUAUAUUUCCUUAGCAUUUUGUUGCAAAACCAAAAAUGUAUUACCAUCUAGUUUAGUAAAUCCAGCUGAUAUAUUCUAAAGUGGUAGUAACUAGAAUUAUGAACCAUUUUCAUUGUAUCAUCUAUAUUUUCAUUAAAAAAAGGAACUAUUCUACUUUUAUUCUAUGGUUAAUAUUUUACAAUUUACACUUGAUAUCGACUUAUGUCUAUACAAAAAAUUUUAAUCCUCAGCAGAUCCUUAAAAUUUGGAUGCUACCAAACGCCUAAAUACACUUUCUAAGCCUUUCUCUAGCCCUUCAACUUCACUCUCCAAAGCUUCAAAACUUUCAUGUGCAGCUUGCAUCUUGGUAGCAAAAAAUCACAUACUAGCAUGACCAACGAAUGAAUGGAAAAAAUAUCAAAAUAUGGCUUCGCCCAGGCUCGAACUGGGGACCUUCAGUGUGUUAGACUGACGUGAUAACCAACUACACCACGAAACCACAUGUUCUUUAAUUUGCAAUAUUCCUUUUACUAUCCGUAAUAAAUGAAU
Vicia villosa (hairy vetch) is the source of this 2701-nucleotide long non-coding RNA. RefSeq lists it as uncharacterized. The transcript has 3 exons. The record is from RefSeq and is a predicted model, not a curated record. Lineage: Eukaryota; Viridiplantae; Streptophyta; Magnoliopsida; Fabales; Fabaceae.